GUUCAUUUAGUAUAAAAAGUAUAUUUGACUUCCAAUCAAAAGGACUGAAAUCAGAAUGAAUA
This 62-nucleotide transfer RNA is filed under the name Neuroctenus hainanensis. Its description in RNAcentral is "tRNA-Gly". It matches the Rfam family "tRNA". From Rfam's summary of the family: Transfer RNA (tRNA) molecules are approximately 80 nucleotides in length. Lineage: Eukaryota; Metazoa; Arthropoda; Insecta; Hemiptera; Aradidae. The record is from RNAcentral. RNAcentral also lists the same sequence under 1 other name.